CGGGGUUUUUGAAGCCCGAAGCAUUGGUAAGGUACUUGGGUGUAAUGGACUCUAUCACCCAAGUACAGAUGAAGGCCUAUUGGGAAGGCAAAGAUGAGGUAGAGGUGUACCCUCUGACCAAGACCCUCACUCUAGGCCUUGCCUGCAAAUUCUUCUUGGGCAUAGAUGAGCCAGACAGAAUUGCAAGGUUUGUGAGCAAUUUCGAUGAUGUGACUGUUGGGAUGCAUUCACUUAUUCUGAAUUUCCCAGGAACAACAUUCUACAAAGCAACCAAAGCAGCCGAUGAACUUCGAAGGGAGUUGAAGAUUGUGAUUCAGGAGAAGAAGGCUGCAAUGGCAUCAGGAGCUCCCAUGCAUGACAUAUUGUCACAUAUGAUUGUGGCAAGUGAUCCAACUGGCAAACACAUGCCUGAGGCUGAGGUUGCUGAUAAGAUCAUGGGUUUGCUGACAGCAGGAUACAGCACUGUGGCUACUGCCAUGACUUUCUUCAUGAAAUAUGUUGGAGAGAGGCCAGACAUUUAUGCCAAAGUCCUAGCAGGUAAUUAAUCUCCUCAACUUCACCUUACUAACUGUUUUUCAAUUGUUCAUUGAUUUGGUUAUUUGUUAUUUGUGCUAAAACUUUGAUUUGUCUUGUAAAAACCAGAACACAAGGAGAUAGCAGACUCAAAGAAGCCUGGACAAUUUUUGGAGUGGGAAGACAUCAACAAAAUGAAAUACUCAUGGAAUGUAUUGUAUGAGGUGAUGAGAUUCACACCACCACUUCAGGGGACAUUCAGAGAGGCUUUGACUGAUUUCACCUACGCUGGUUACACCAUCCCAAAGGGCUGGAAGGUAUAUCUGUCACACUCAUAUCACACUUUUUAACUGCUGUGAAAAGUGAAAUUUAUUUUUCACCUCUGUCAAAUAGUAAUUUCUUUGCUUAGAACUAAAGUUUUUACUUUGAUUUGUUUGCAGGUAUAUUGGACUGUUAGUACAACAAACAUGAACCCAGAGUACUUUCCCAACCCAGAAAAGUUUGACCCCUCAAGAUAUGAUGACUUGAAUGCAUUCCCAGCUUUCACAUUUGUUCCAUUUGGAGGAGGACCAAGGAUGUGCCCUGGCAAAGAGUAUGCAAGGCUAGCCAUACUCACUUUUGUUCACAAUGUGG
RNAcentral lists this long non-coding RNA (1146 nucleotides) under Prunus dulcis (almond). RNAcentral describes it as "sRNA ncRNA". Lineage: Eukaryota; Viridiplantae; Streptophyta; Magnoliopsida; Rosales; Rosaceae. The record is from RNAcentral.